This 1048-nucleotide ribosomal RNA is filed under the name uncultured archaeon. Its description in RNAcentral is "bacterial SSU rRNA". It matches the Rfam family "Archaeal small subunit ribosomal RNA", at positions 1 to 1054 of the family's 1478-position model. The record is from RNAcentral.
UCUGUUUGAUCCCGGCGGAGGUUACUGCUAUCGAGGUUCGACUAAGCCAUGCGAGCCGAAUGUAGCAAUACAUGGCGUACUGCUCAGUAACACGUGGACAACCUACCCUGAGGUCGGGGAUAAACCCGGGAAACUGGGUAUAAUACCCGAUAGAUCUAGGUUGCUGGAAUGCUUUUAGGUCUAAAGUUCCGACGCCUCAGGAUGGGUCUGCGGCCUAUCAGGGUAGUAGUGGGUGUAAAGUACCUACUAGCCUACGACGGGUACGGGUUGUGAGAGCAAGAGCCCGGAGAUGGAUUCUGAGACACGAAUCCAGGCCCUACGGGGUGCAGCAGGCGCGAAACCUUUACAAUGCUGGCAACAGCGAUAAGGGGACCUCGAGUGCUACGAUACAAUCGUGGCUGUCUAGUUGCCUAAAAAGCAAUUGAUAGCAAGGGCCGGGCAAGACCGGUGCCAGCCGCCGCGGUAACACCGGCGGCUCGAGUGGUAACCGCUAUUAUUGGGUCUAAAGGGUCUGUAGCCGGCUUAGUUAGUCUCUUGAGGAAUCUGGCCGCUCAACGGUCAGGCGUUCAGGGGAUACUGCUAAAGCUCGAGACCGGGAGAGGUGAGAGGUACUUCAGGGGUAGGGGUGAAAUCUUGUAAUCCUUGAAGGACCACCAGUGGCGAAGGCGUCUCACCAGAACGGAUCUGACGGCAAGGGACGAAAGCUAGGGGCACGAACCGGAUUAGAUACCCGGGUAGUCCUGGCCGUAAACGAUACUCGCUAGGUGUCGGCCACGGUGCGACCGUGGUCGGUGCCGUAGGGAAGCCGUGAAGCGAGCCACCUGGGAAGUACGGCCGCAAGGCUGAAACUUAAAGGAAUUGGCGGGGGAGCACUACAACGGGUGGAGCUUGCGGUUUAAUUGGAUUCAACGCCGGAAAUCUUACCGGGGCCGACAGCGAUAUGAAGGCCAGGCUAGGGACCUUGCCUGAUUAGCUGAGAGGUGGUGCAUGGCCGUCGUCAGUUCGUACUGUGAAGCAUCCUGUUAAGUCAGGCAACGAGCGAGACCCA